This 1222-nucleotide long non-coding RNA is filed under the name Homo sapiens (human). RNAcentral's name for it is "HSALNT0343656". The record is from RNAcentral. Lineage: Eukaryota; Metazoa; Chordata; Mammalia; Primates; Hominidae.
ACUCGCUGUCUUUCUCUUCCAUGUGAAAACACAGCAAGAAGGCAGCCAUCUGUAGGGCAGGAAGAGAGCCCUCACCAGAACUUGACCAUGCUGGCACCCUGAUCUCAGACUUCUAGCCUCCAGAACUGUAAGACAUAAAUGUCUGUUGUUUAAGCCACCCAGUCUGUAGUAUUCUGUUAUAGAGCCCUGAGAAGACUAAGACAGGCAUUUAUAUUGUGAUGUUUUAGAUAUGCUACAUUGUUGGAUGUUUACUAGGGUGGGAGAGAAUAAAAUAGUAGGUUAUUGCCACAGGAAACCUGACUGAUGAAAUUUUUGGUAAUUUUCUUUCCAAGUUUGCUAAGGUCUUCUCAUCUUUGUAGUGAGGUGUCAAUGUCAAAGUUACAUAUCCUUUAAAAAAAUCUGCUUUAAAACUGGUCACUACUGAUUUUAUGACAUGAGGCACAAAUUGAAGAUCGAAGAGAUCAAUACCAGUUAAUAAUAUGUUAGGGGAACUUGCAAGGUCUCCAAUAACUUGAGUUGUCCGGAUGAAAUACAUCAGUGCUGGAGAAUAGUUGUUAAGAUAGAUGGGCUUGCUGUAUGCUAAAAUGUAGCACUAUUUUGUGCUUGUAAUUGAGAAUUAGAUCUUUGCUAGCAGUUUUAUUAGUGAUGUAUGAGUCAGAGGAGACUACAAUUCUCUUCUAAACCUAUACUAAAGAUACGAUGCUGACAGUAGGGGGAAAAGGCUUCAUCAGUAAAUAAAUACAAUGUAGACAUGAAGAAUUGAUGUAUAUGGUUAUAAUUGUACUCUAUUACUUUUACAAAGUCCUCUGGCCUACCCAUGCUUAAGAAAAUAUAAGACUAAAUGGCCCCUCGAAAAGGUAAAUUAAUUGACGUAUUGCUUUUCGAAAUUUAGACUCAACUGUUCCCUGCAGAAUAGUAGAUGUCCAAGUGCUCAGGACCACAUUUCUAACAAAAGAAAAAUAAAGGGAAUUCUAAUGCAUGUAUCAGUCAGGCAAUUGCAUGUAUUGCUUUUAUAUCCGAUUAAAUUUGUGAAAUGGUUUGUAGAGUACUUGUGGUAAUUCUUCAAUAUUGGGGUAAUGAGAAGAGCAUUUGGAGUUGAAAACCCUUCCUACAUAUUAAUGAUUCUAAGAUUUGUUGUUUAUUUAUUUUGAAUUUUCAUUUUUUUUUACCAUAGCACAGCAGCCAGAUAGGUUAAUAUUUGUUUGUUUUUUUUUAAAUUUUC